RNAcentral lists this unclassified non-coding RNA (240 nucleotides) under soil metagenome. RNAcentral describes it as "partial contains 5.8S ribosomal RNA, internal transcribed spacer 2, and large subunit ribosomal RNA". The record is from RNAcentral.
AACCAUAGAAACCUGCGGAGUACCUGCGGAAGGAUCAUUAUAGUAUAUGGAAUCUCCAUUCUAUAAACCCACUCUGCGUAUCUUGUAACUGUUGCUUCCAUGGGACUUGGUUCCGCCACACCGGCUUCACGGCUGGUGAGCGCCCAUGGAAGGAGAAACAAAACUCUUCUUUGAAAUGUAGUCAGUCUGAACAAGUUUUUAUAAACGUUGAAACUUUUAGCAAUGGAUCUCAGAUCGGAA